GUCUAUGGCCACGCCACCCUGAACAAGCCCAAUCUCGUCUGAUCUCGGAAGCUAAGCAGGGUCAGGCUUGGUUAGUACUUGGAUAGGAGACCACCUAGGAAAACCAGGUGCUGUAGGCA
RNAcentral lists this ribosomal RNA (119 nucleotides) under Pteropus alecto (black flying fox). Lineage: Eukaryota; Metazoa; Chordata; Mammalia; Chiroptera; Pteropodidae. The record is from RNAcentral.